AUGGCGAGCUCCGCCAAAACCCCAUCUGCCAAGCUGCUGCCGACAGGUGUGCAAAUGGAGGUCCAGCUGGUGGAAUCAGGAGGGGAUGUGAGAAGGCCUGGGGAGUCCCUCUGUCUCUCCUGCCAAGCCUCUGGAUUCACCUUCAGCCGCUAUGAUUUCAUCUCGGUGACACAGUUUCCAGGGAAAGGACUGGAAUGGGUUGCAUGGAUAGACAGUCCUGGAGAUGGGAGCAGGCACUCUUACUCCAACUCUGCGAAAGACCGUUUCACCAUCUCCCGGCGAGAUGCCUCGAGCAUGCUUUAUCUCCAAAUGAACAACUUGAAACCAGAGGACACGGCUGUGUAUUACUGUGUUAGAGAGCCACAGUGA
Non-coding RNA from Pantherophis guttatus, 369 nucleotides. Lineage: Eukaryota; Metazoa; Chordata; Lepidosauria; Squamata; Colubridae. The record is from the annotation of a RefSeq genome assembly.